CCAAAAACUAAUGGCCCAAAUACUACACUCCCAAUCUGUCGGUCGUCUCUCUCUCAUCUCUUCUCCAAAUUGAAUUUUUUCACCCUCAAAUUAAAUCUCAAACCCUAACUUCUCCAUCUCUCUUCCUCCUCUCGAUGACAUUGCAGGAAACUGCCCCUGUCGCGCCUCACGGAGGCGUCUGCCAUCUUCGACGCCACCUUCUUCCUCGGUGAAACGACCGCUGGCCGUCGUUCACUGCCGUCCCCAGCCGGCGCCUCGGCUGUGUAGCCGUCUGCCUCGCCGUCCCGGUGCCAUCGGAGCAGAGAAGAGGGGCGUCGCCUCUCGGGGAAAACGUCGUCAGGUUGGACUCGGGCUGCUGUCCGGCGUGAUUCGAGGCGCAUGCUUCGACAGCGGCUUCGCCGUCUCUCCUUCACGACAAAAGGAGCCCUUGUUUGGUUGUGUAACUGAAAGCUGCAGGGCUGUUGCUUUGUGCCAGGAAAAGAGAUCUCUAGUUUGCUUAUACAUUGGUUGACCUCCUGUAAAUUCUGUUGCUUGCUGGUGUUGCAGAGUGUACCGUUAGAGGCUGCAACAAUUUGUUAGGGACAGAGGUGCAGGGCUGUUGUGGCCGUGGCCUUUCCUUAGCUCGUAGCCGCUGUACAAGGGCGGAAAUGUAGGUUGCUGCAACCUCUACAGACUGCCCCAUUUGGUGAGUCUAUCUUACUCUUCCCGAAAGGUCCCGCUGCCUCUUUCCUCUUCCUAUGAAGCAUGUAUUUCUCUUUGACUUUGUUUUGCUAGCUUUCAUACUCGUCUUAUGCAUUCUCUUGGGUAUUGUUUCUCCUGAGUUGGUUAUCGAGAGGUUCGAGGGGCUAACCAUCUCCAGCGACCAGCACACCGUCUCGGCCCAACUCCCGUCGGUAGUCAAGCCGACGGCCGGUGCUAAAAGUGCCGGAGCUAGCUCUCUUUCCCCCUCGUAUUGUAAUAGAGUAGCUCCAUUUGUGAACAUUCUUUCUUCCCCAUGUAAUAGUUAGUUGACGUGUCAUUAGCUUGAAAUUCUUUAUACUAUAUUUAUUUUUAUUCAAGAAAUAAAAAUACUCUUUCAUUCUUCAUAAA
Molecule: long non-coding RNA, 1089 nt
Organism: Salvia splendens (bonfire salvia)
Lineage: Eukaryota; Viridiplantae; Streptophyta; Magnoliopsida; Lamiales; Lamiaceae
Exons: 2
Source: RefSeq, a predicted model, not a curated record